AGCGAACGCUGGCGGCAGGCCUAAAACAUGCAAGUCGAACGCACCUUCGGGUGAGUGGCGGACGGGUGAGUAACGCGUGGGAACGUGCCCUUUGGUUCGGAACAACUCAGGGAAACUUGAGCUAAUACCGGAUGUGCCCUUCGGGGGAAAGAUUUAUCGCCAUUGGAGCGGCCCGCGUUGGAUUAGGUAGUUGGUGGGGUAAAGGCCCACCAAGCCUACGAUCCAUAGCUGGUCUGAGAGGAUGAUCAGCCACAUUGGGACUGAGACACGGCCCAAACUCCUACGGGAGGCAGCAGUUAGGAAUCUUGGGCAAUGGGCGAAAGCCUGACCCAGCCAUGCCGCGUGAAUGAUGAAGGUCCUAGGAUUGGUAAAAUUCUUUCACCGGGGAAGAUAAUGACGGUACCCGGAGAAGAAGCUCCGGCUAACUUCGUG
This 432-nucleotide ribosomal RNA is filed under the name uncultured bacterium. Its description in RNAcentral is "bacterial SSU rRNA". It matches the Rfam family "Bacterial small subunit ribosomal RNA", at positions 29 to 507 of the family's 1533-position model. The record is from RNAcentral.